Cyprinus carpio (common carp) is the source of this 1140-nucleotide long non-coding RNA. Lineage: Eukaryota; Metazoa; Chordata; Actinopteri; Cypriniformes; Cyprinidae. The record is from Ensembl.
AUAUAAUUUUAUUUUGCGCAUGUGAAUUGCUUUUUGUGAAUAUAUUUUUUUUUUCACGCACGUGAAUUUUUUUUGUGUGUACGUGAAUUAGGUUUCAUGCAUGUGAAAUUGUCUACGCAUGUGUGAAUCGUGUUUUUUGCGUGAAUUAUAUUUGAGACUAAUCUGCUUCCAUAAAAUUCCACCGGUCUUCCGGGGGUCUUUUUAGUCCAUGUGAGAAGAGAGCUCGGAUACACAGCUGUUUCAGCAGCGAUCCAUCUCUAGCCGGCGUUAUUAUGGCAAGACUAGCAGCAUUUCUUCUUGUUCUUAAAACCUGUGCAUCUGUGAGAUCUACCAUGUUUUCUCAAGAAUGCUCUGCAGACAAGGAAAUACCCUGCGAGAGUCUGAGCACCUCUGCGGGCUACACGUACCCGCUGCCGCAGAACAUGAGAGACUUGAGUACAAAGCAUUGUGAACAUGGAUGGUAUUUUCCGAAUGGGACAUUUCUUGUCGAUUCAACUAUGGGUGGCGGAAAAAAUAUGUUAGAAAUUGUAGUUGAUGUAACACCUGAGAACCUGACGGUUAUCACCUGUGAGAACCUGCAAUGGCAACUUCACUGUGUCGAGUUUAACUGUAUGAUCACUUACACAGUUAUAGAUUGGAACACAAACCACAUGCACAAACAGGAUGGCACUGGGGGAUUCCCUAACUGGGGGAUUGCUGUGAUUGGGAUUGUGGCUGUAAUUGGAACCAUUUUUGCAUCUGUUUGGUAUUGUUAUCGAAAAUCUGGAAAUAGGUGGAUUUUACAAAAUUGUGUUUAGUAGGACAAAUUAAUUGUCUGGUGUUUAGGAUCUGAAACAAUAUGCCUUCUGUACCCAAGGUUGCUCCAAAAAGAUUUCCCCUGUAAUUUCUUUCCACUCAUUAAUUUUUCUUUGGCUGGCUUUUAUAAAUGUUAGCUAUUGUAUUAAUGAGAUGAACUUAACACAUAUUGAGAACUAUGUAAAAUAUGUAAUUUCUGUCAUCAGUUGUAAAAUUUUUACUUGAAUUAUUUUUUCUAAAUCAUUAUUUUAACAUUGUAUUAUAUUUUUGUUUAUCUUUUGCCUUUGCUAUCUAGUUGUCUUGUUUCUCUUUUAAUAAAAUCUGAUUGUGAAGUUACGUUUUACA